This 734-nucleotide ribosomal RNA is filed under the name Ramonia sp. Palice 2336. RNAcentral describes it as "SSU rRNA". It matches the Rfam family "Bacterial small subunit ribosomal RNA", at positions 480 to 1293 of the family's 1533-position model. The record is from RNAcentral. Lineage: Eukaryota; Fungi; Ascomycota; Lecanoromycetes; Ostropales; Gyalectaceae.
UUAUCUAUAAGUCUUGACCAAGUCACGUGCCAGCAGUCGCGGUAACACGUGAAGACAAGUGUUAUUCAUCUUUAAUUGGUUUAAAGGGUACGUAGACAGUUAAUUAAGCCUAUAUCAGGGACUGAUUAGACUAGAGUUUAAUGGGAGAUGGUUGAGAACGGUGAGUGUAGCGAUGAAAUUUUCUGAUACCACCUAGAGACUGGCAACAGCGAAAGCAACUGUUUAAGUUAAAACUGACGUUCAGGGACGAAGGCUCGAUUAAGUAACAGGAUUAGGUACCCUAGUAUUGUGAGCAGACAAUGAUGAGUGUCAUAGAUAAGAAAUAUUAUUUAUAUUACUUGUGUAUAAAUGAAAGUGUAAGCACUCCACCUCAAGAGUAAUGUGGCAACACAUAAACUGAAAUCAUUAGACCGUUUCUGAAACCAGUAGUGAAGUAUGUUGUUUAAUUUGAUAACCCACAAAAAACCUUACCACAAUUUGUAUAUUUAUAAUAACAAGAGUUGCACGGCUGUCUUCAGUUAAUGUCGUGAGAUUUUGGUUAGAUCCAUUAAAUUAACGUAAACCCUUACUUUAUUUUAAUAUAAAGUAGUUCGCCGCUAUAUUGGUCAUGAUAUAAGGGACUAAGACAAGUCAUCAUGGCCUGAACAUUGUGGGCUAUAGACGUGCCACGUAAGCCUUAACAAAUAGAUGUGAAAUUGCAAAAUUAAACUAAUCUUCUAAAAUAGGACAUAACA